GCCAGGCAUGGUGGUAUAUACCUGUAGUCCUAACUACUUGGGAGGCUGAGAUGGCAGGAUUGCUUGAGCCCAGGGGUUUGAGGUUGCAGUGAGCUAUGAUAGCACCACUGCAGUCUAGCCUGAGCAACAGAGCAAGAUCCUAUCUCUA
RNAcentral lists this non-coding RNA (148 nucleotides) under Nomascus leucogenys (northern white-cheeked gibbon). The record is from Rfam by way of RNAcentral. Lineage: Eukaryota; Metazoa; Chordata; Mammalia; Primates; Hylobatidae.